Molecule: long non-coding RNA, 2969 nt
Filed under: Aquilegia coerulea
Lineage: Eukaryota; Viridiplantae; Streptophyta; Magnoliopsida; Ranunculales; Ranunculaceae
Description: long non-coding RNA (ACOE_LNC001579)
Source: RNAcentral
UAGAAAACCCCCACCCAUGAUAAUCAUAUAAUAAUACAAGAUUCUGAAUGAUAUUCAUAUAUAUAAUUAGCAUAAAAAUACAUAACUUAAUACAAUACAGAUAAUACAACUGCGAUCACCUCUAUACAAAAAAAAACUAAGUACAUCUAUCGCACGAAUACUCAUACAAAUCCCCUCUGUAACCUCUGUAUAACCAUCUCUGUUGAAUCUCAUAUAUCAUCGAGCAUCUGUUUAUCUGAAAAAGGGUUAAUGCUAAGGUGAGCAUUUCCACUUGCUCAGUAGUGACUCACAUUUCCAAAAUACUAUCUAAUCAUGCAUGACGAUUAACAUACUAAACAUUUGAAAGAAUGCAAGUUUUAAUAAUUGAAAGUAAUUUUCUACCGUACCUAAUAAAUAAUAUACAAGUGUAGGUGCAAAAAUUUGAUCCACAAACUUGAGAUAUGUACUGAUUAAUCGAACAGUUACAAUGAAAGCCUUGUACAGACUGAGAUGGGAUGGGGGUAUACAAUGAGACUGGACCUGAUGAAGAUCAGGCUGCCUACGUAUCUAAGAAGAUGAACUUGGAAUCAAGUCUCUACUUCCACUAAGCUCUAAUGGAGUUGCUCAGUGUAAGACUCGUAGUUCAGGAGGUUAAGAACUCCUGUAUUUGUAGUAGACCGGAGGAGGCUGGCUCAACCACCCCUCCGGUUUUGACUCCAUGAACUCAGGUAGUUCAACUAUGAUUAUGCUUUCCGUAGAGAUAGCUUGCAUGUUGCUGAGCGGUUAUCCCUUUGGUUUGAAUUCCCUUUAACCAGGAUGACAACCACGUGGCAUCCUCUGAUAGGCUCUGGUUCAACCUGGGUCUUUCUUUAUCUUUUCCACCGGGCUAGAACAAUGGGUUAUGUUAGCCUGGAAUCUUGCUGGACUUAUCCAGUUGGUUGGGACUUGGAUUCGACCAAGUCCGGAAACAAAGACUUGGGCUUGACUCCUCUGACCGGAGGCCCAAUCUUCAUUGCAUACACCCUGGCCAGGUCCUCUGGGCUUCUAUGUUAAGCCUUUGGAUGAGCCCUUGUCGCUGCUGGACUUUACUGGGCCGGACCUGAUUUACUUGACUGAGGUCGGCUUGGUCAAUGUAUGAUGGGAGCCCACGGUUCAACUUCUUAUACAGCAAUCGGGGCUCCACCGAUUGAACAUGGACCAUCCGGUGGGUUUGAUCCACAGAGCGUAUUUGGACUCCUUGAGACCGGGUUGGGCCCUACCCAAUAACCCAGGCCUUGCUGGCUAAUGCUCAGGUGCUCCCGGUUUAGCUUCUUAUACAGCCACCGAUGAUACAUGUCGGGUUUUUUACCUAGAGUACACAUAACAAACAUUCAUACAAUAAGUCGGGUACAUGUAUCCUAUCAGAGUGCUGAGGGUACGACUGGUACUCGGCCCCAGUCCCAGGCAAUAUCUUAGUUCAGCACAUACCGGUGUGAACCUGCACCGUUAGUUCCUGAUUAUCCGGUAAGAUGAUUACCGUUUGUGUCUCGAGAACACUAACCCUUAUUUAAGGCUCAGGUGGCCCCUCUGACCACGACUCCUCGAGGGGGGAAUCACCUAUCACGGUGGUCAACCAUUUGACGACUGCAGACUGCUCAGGAUCCUGACACACGUCCAGGAGUGGACUACCUCUCACUCCCCGCGUCUAACCUCCUCGAGGUAGCAUGUAUCCCCACAACACACUAACCAUUCACAGCAAAUACCACUAAAAUGAUGGCAAUCCAGGAAGGUAGAAAAGGAAUUCCCAGAAACAUCAAACCAGUUCCGUAUUCACGACUACCAGACACGGGAACUAGCCGAAGGGAUUAUAAUCCGAUCUGUAAUAAUAUGUUCAUGUAAGCACCCAGAUCGAUCAUAUUCCCAAUUCAUAAACCUCACACCAUACCAACAUACAAUUGGGAUCCCACAUCCCAUAUACAAAAUCCAUCUCCUUUUUCCCAUCUUGGAAAAGAGAUGCGAUAAAACCUUCAAUAGUUUUUUCGUUUAUAAAACUAUUUCGAUAUACAUAUACUGCUUUAAUAACUCCAGUAUAAAACAUGACAUCUGUAACUAAUAACUUUAAUAGAAGCUAUAAUUGGUAAACCACGAAUAAUCUAUAUAUACCAAACAAAACCAUGCAUGCAUUUUUUUUUUAUCAUCAAUAAUAUAUUAAAUAAUUUACAACAUUUAAAAUAUGACACAUGAAAGGAUAGUAUAAAAGAAAUGUAAGUCCCUACCUCUUGCUCGCUAGCUUUUUACUUCCUUUUUGGUUUGAAGCACUCAAUUAGAAGUGCCGAUAGCCGACAAUUUUUAUUUCUCCGCACCAAAUGUAGCCAUUGGUUACCCACUUAAUUAAUCGAUCCACAUGCUAAACAUUUCAUUGGUCAAUUGCCGCCGAAAUCCAUAAGUUCUCUCCCCAUCUCUGAAUGGCCUCACAUCACAAUUUCAGUCACUUGACCACCCCUCAUGCAUUUGAAUUGGUUUUUCAUCCCUCUCAACCCAUGGUCUCCGUCCUUAAAUUUUGUUGACAUGUAACCAAUUGAGAAAUCUAUAUAACUUGCACCAACUGAGACAGAUCUUAGUUCAAUUAAACCCAAUCUAAAAAGUUCUUUCACAUAUGGACAGACAAAGUCUCCCAUAUCACAAGCAAAAAUAAAUAUCACCCCCAAUCCAUAUCAAACCCAAAAUAUAUACAACUCCAUGCUGCCCAUAUCACUUCAAAUAGUUAGAAGCCUCACACCAUUUCACUUGAUUCAUACUGCAAGAAUCCCACAGAUUAUUACACAUACAAGAAACGGUUUAUCUAAAUAUUACAAAGCUAACCCAUGUAUCUUGAUAAGGAAAAUCAAUUAAAAGGUAAGGAAAUCAGUUAAAGGUAUAGAGAUCCAACUUAGCUAGUUGUCAUCUUGUAGGUUUUCUUCUCUAUCUUCUAAUUAGCUACAAAGCUAUAAGGAUAAAGAACAAGGUCCUGG